RNAcentral lists this long non-coding RNA (2008 nucleotides) under Homo sapiens (human). RNAcentral describes it as "HSALNT0223957". Lineage: Eukaryota; Metazoa; Chordata; Mammalia; Primates; Hominidae. The record is from RNAcentral.
GUUAGGAGCCUGAUGUUGACUCCUGUGUUCGUUUGCUCAGGCUGCCAACACCGACUGGGGGCUUCAAUAAUGGAAGCUUAUUUUCACACAGUUCUGGAGGCUGGAGUUCCAAGAUCAAGGUUUUGGCAGCAAACUCCAAUGUCAUCUCCUCCAUGAAGCCCUGGCUGCCACUCACAGAGAAGCAGGCUGAGUCCUGCACCAGGAUGCCUGGCUGAGGAGCAGAGUGGCAUAAAAGCAUUUGCUCUUUGUUUGCAGGCCGCUGGGCCCAGGAGGCUGGGUCUGUUCAGCAGUUGCAUCUGUUACACAGUAAAGGAGUCCUAGAGAAGUGCUGCCAAGGGGAACUCAUAAAAAAGCCGCUGCUGGAGACUCAGAUGUGCCCUGCUGAGCGAGGCAGUCUCCUCCUACUUACCGUGCUGCAGUGAGCCGCAGUCACCCGCGGGGGAGUUGAAGAAUAAGUUGAAUAUGGUUGAACACGGUGGCAUCAUACUGCUCAGCCAUCUCUGGGGUUAACUGCAGAUGAGAUAAUUCCUGUAUAACUCCUGGAUCCUCUAGGGCAUUCUGCCACUGUAUCCACACUUCAUGGUACAAGGGCGAAUGGACAGAUCUCCAGCUUCCAAGUGAAACGUGAAGGCGACUCGACAAGGAUUUCUGUUAGGACAAUAGUUUUGCUUCAUGAAGACCAGGAAGGCUUGAACUCAGGACAAUGGGUAUCUUGAAUUUACUCAGUUCCCAUCUCUUAAGUUAUUAAACAUUAUUUCCCACCUGUCUUGUGUAUUUUUGCUUGAUCCCUAUAAUAUGGGGGCAGGCAUAAUUUUGUAUAACCCCUGUAAGACGUGUGCCAGGUACAAUUGGCCCUAUUUCCUAUGUGGGGAAACUGAGACUCAGAGCAGAGAAGCGACUCUCCUAAGUCACACGUUGUAUUGCUGGCAGAGUCUCGGGCAGGAGUCGUGCCUCCUGAUUUCCAGGUACAUGCUGCUUUUGCUAGAACCAAUCUAUUAAAGAACCAAGACUCUUUUAUUUGGAAUUAAUGAGGGAUUCCAAAAAUAGUGUUAGCAGUGCUUAACAAAUUUGAAAGAGCAAAGGAACUGAAGCCAGAGAAGACUGAGAUAGGGGAGCUGUUUCAUUGUAUCAAUUUCUAUUCACUUUGUUAAUAAUUGAUGCCACAUUUACUCAUUGUUAUAUAUUAAAAAUACUUGAUUUGCUACAAGGUAAAAAUGACCCAUUGACUUUGUCUCUCAACCUACGCUAACCCUAAAUGAGAAUCUCAUUGUGACCACGAUUUUGCAAAAUUGAUUAAAUGGAAAUAAAUGCAUUCAAGUGUCAAAGGCUGCAUUGGGAAUGGUUGCUAAUGAGCUUGACCUUUCAGAGCUUCCUGGCUGGGUGCACAGUAGGUGUUCAAUGAGUACUGAUGGAUGUCUUGACUGACUGAGAUUUCGGUUAGCCUUCCAUCCCCGGGAGCAUGGUGCCUCUAAUGUGUUAGAUGGCAUCAUGUUCCAAAAAUGAAUCGAUCUAUAAAUUUGAAGACUAAUUUGGAAACAUUUUAACCUUACUAAACAGAAUAGUAUGAUAAAACCUAGGUACCCUACGCCAGCUUCAAAUCAAUAUUCUGCUGUUUUUGUUUACUUCCCUUAACACACAUCACUGCCUCCCCACCCCCAACACACACACACUUUUUUGUUUUUGAGACAGAGUCUCGCUCUGUCACCGAGGCUGGGGUGUAGUGGCGCCAUCUCGGCUCACUGCAAGCUCCGCCUCCUGGGUUCAUGCCAUUCUCCUGUCUCGGCCUCCCAGUCUCCAGAGUAGCUGGGACUUCAGGUGUCCACUUUUUUUUUUUUUUUUUGGCUGAAGUACCAUAAAGGAAAUUUCAAACAUUGUGUCAUUCACCUGUGAAUAAAUCUGUAUGUACCUCCAAUAGAUAGACUAAAAAAACCACAACCUUAUCACCACAACACAAUUAGCCAUUGUUUCUUAAUAUCAUAGGAGGCCUCUUCCAUGCUGAAUGCUCCAU